RNAcentral lists this ribosomal RNA (254 nucleotides) under uncultured bacterium. RNAcentral describes it as "partial 16S ribosomal RNA". It matches the Rfam family "Bacterial small subunit ribosomal RNA", at positions 524 to 776 of the family's 1533-position model. The record is from RNAcentral.
CACGUAGGGGGCAAGCGUUGUCCGGAUUUAUUGGGCGUAAAGAGCUCGUAGGCGGCUCAGUAAGUCGGGUGUGAAACCUCCAGGCUCAACCUGGAGACGCCACCUGAUACUGCUGUGGCUAGAGUCCGGUAGGGGAGCGUGGAAUUCCUGGUGUAGCGGUGAAAUGCGCAGAUAUCAGGAGGAACACCAGCGGCGAAGGCGGCGCUCUGGGCCGGAACUGACGUUGAGGAGCGAAAGCGUGGGUAGCAAACAGG